Molecule: ribosomal RNA, 301 nt
Filed under: uncultured bacterium
Lineage: Bacteria
Description: partial 16S ribosomal RNA
Rfam family: Bacterial small subunit ribosomal RNA
Source: RNAcentral
CAGCAGCCGCGGGAAUACGAAGGGUGCAAGCGUUACUCGGAAUUACUGGGCGUAAAGCGUGCGUAGGUGGUGGUUUAAGUCCGUUGUGAAAGCCCUGGGCUCAACCUGGGAAUUGCAGUGGAUACUGGAUCACUAGAGUGUGGUAGAGGAUAGUGGAAUUUCCGGUGUAGCAGUGAAAUGCGUAGAGAUCGGAAGGAACAUCUGUGGCGAAGGCGACUAUCUGGGCCAACACUGACACUGAGGCACGAAAGCGUGGGGAGCAAACAGGAUUAGAUACCCCUGUAGUCCCUGUCUCUUAUAC